AUGACGGACGAGCGUUUGAUGUCAAUGGAAGCCAGCUCCGCCACCCAGGCCCUCCUCUGCAAGGCCGACGAGGACACUGCUUUCUCCAAGCAGAUCGCGCAGAUCUAUCCGAUAGGAAUGGCUGAUGAUGAUGAAAUACUGAACGAUGACAAGGAUAUUUCAUCUAAGAUAUAUGUUUGUUGCUUGCUCUACACAUGUGUGGUGCUCCAGCUCAUGCAUUCGUUUGAUCUGACCAUGGUGCAUGGCAUACAUGUGUAUGUGAUAUGGAGAAUUCUGAACAUGGAAGAUGAAAGACAAAUGUUGGCUGAGUGUGCUGGUCCUAAAGUGUUCCUUCAACGCUUCUUCACCUGGGAGGCCUCCAAACAAAUGCUAUGUAUUUGCUCUUAUGUGGACAUGGUGGCUAAUCUGAAACAAAGUCAAUGUUGGAGAGAAAAGAUGCCAUUGGCUCAAAGAUGGAAACCGCCUGAAGCUGAUGUGCUGAGAGUGAACAUUGAUGGUAGUUUCUUCUCACAUUCAGCUGAGGGAGGCUCGGGUUUUAUAGUCAGAGACAACUCAUGCAAUGCGGUGGGCUUAGGAGCAGGAAAACUUUGUCAGCUUCAAGAUCCUAUGCAUGCAGAGGCGGAGGCAUGCUUGCAUGUAGUUCAGGAGGCUCAAACUUGUGCAAUGAGGAGAAUUACUAGACAGACACACAGGAGCUGGUAUAAGGAGAAGCAUCAAGCUAUAAAGGAGAUCAAGAGUAUCAACGUGGUUACAUGGAUGACCUGA
This 765-nucleotide ribosomal RNA is filed under the name Triticum aestivum (bread wheat). RNAcentral's name for it is "partial small subunit ribosomal RNA". Lineage: Eukaryota; Viridiplantae; Streptophyta; Magnoliopsida; Poales; Poaceae. The record is from RNAcentral.